GACGAACGCUGGCGGCGUGCCUAAUACAUGCAAGUCGAGCGCAGGAAAUCGACGGAACCCUUCGGGGGGAAGUCGAUGGAAUGAGCGGCGGACGGGUGAGUAACACGUAAAGAACCUGCCCUCAGGUCUGGGAUAACCACGAGAAAUCGGGGCUAAUACCGGAUGGGUCAUCGGACCGCAUGGUCCGAGGAUGAAAGGCGCUUCGGCGUCGCCUGGGGAUGGCUUUGCGGUGCAUUAGCUAGUUGGUGGGGUGAUGGCCCACCAAGGCGACGAUGCAUAGCCGACCUGAGAGGGUGAUCGGCCACACUGGGACUGAGACACGGCCCAGACUCCUACGGGAGGCAGCAGUAGGGAAUCUUCCACAAUGGACGAAAGUCUGAUGGAGCAACGCCGCGUGAACGAUGAAGGCCUUCGGGUCGUAAAGUUCUGUUGUAAGGGAAGAACAAGUGCCGCAGGCAAUGGCGGCACCUUGACGGUACCUUGCGAGAAAGCCACGGCUAACUACGUGCCAGCCGCCGCUGUAA
This 524-nucleotide ribosomal RNA is filed under the name uncultured bacterium. Its description in RNAcentral is "partial 16S ribosomal RNA". It matches the Rfam family "Bacterial small subunit ribosomal RNA", at positions 28 to 523 of the family's 1533-position model. The record is from RNAcentral.